GCCAGCCCGCUCAAGAAACUCAAAGGAAUUGACGGGGCCCGCACAAGCGGAGGAGCAUGUGGUUUAAUUCGAUGAUACGCGAGGAACCUUACCUGGGCUCGAACGUAAGAUGACUGUAGGUGAAAGCUUACAUCUCUUCGGAGCAUUUUACGAGGUGCUGCAUGGUUGUCGUCAGCUCGUGCCGUGAGGUGUCGGGUUAAGUCCCAUAACGAGCGCAACCCCUACCUUUAGUUGCCAUCAGGUUAAGCUGGGGACUCUAAAGGAACUGCCUACGCAAGUAGUGAGGAAGGCGGGGAUGACGUCAAAUCAGCACGGCCCUUACGUCCAGGGCUACACACGUGCUACAAUGGCCGAUACAGAGGGCAGCUACCUGGUGACAGGAUGCAAAUCUCCAAAGUCGGUCUCAGUUCGGAUCGGAGUCUGCAACCCGACUCCGUGAAGUUGGAUUCGCUAGUAAUCGCGCAUCAGCCAUGGCGCGGUGAAUACGUUCCCGGGCCUU
Molecule: ribosomal RNA, 499 nt
Filed under: uncultured Sphingobacteriales bacterium
Lineage: Bacteria; Pseudomonadati; Bacteroidota; Sphingobacteriia; Sphingobacteriales
Description: bacterial SSU rRNA
Rfam family: Bacterial small subunit ribosomal RNA
Source: RNAcentral